RNAcentral lists this ribosomal RNA (783 nucleotides) under Enterococcus faecalis. RNAcentral describes it as "partial 23S ribosomal RNA". It matches the Rfam family "Bacterial large subunit ribosomal RNA", at positions 1 to 787 of the family's 2925-position model. Lineage: Bacteria; Bacillati; Bacillota; Bacilli; Lactobacillales; Enterococcaceae. The record is from RNAcentral.
GGUUAAGUGAAUAAGGGCGCACGGUGGAUGCCUUGGCACUAGGAGCCGAUGAAGGACGGGACUAACACCGAUAUGCUUUGGGGAGCUGUAAGUAAGCUAUGAUCCAGAGAUUUCCGAAUGGGGGAACCCAAUAUCUUUUAUAGGAUAUUACUUUUCAGUGAAUACAUAGCUGAUUAGAGGUAGACGCAGAGAACUGAAACAUCUUAGUACCUGCAGGAAGAGAAAGAAAAAUCGAUUCCCUGAGUAGCGGCGAGCGAAACGGGAAGAGCCCAAACCAACAAGCUUGCUUGUUGGGGUUGUAGGACUCCAAUAUGGUAGUCUGUUAGUAUAGUUGAAGGAUUUGGAAAAUUCCGCUAAAGAGGGUGAAAGCCCCGUAGACGAAAUGCUGACAACACCUAGGAGGAUCCUGAGUACGGCGGAACACGAGAAAUUCCGUCGGAAUCCGCGGGGACCAUCCCGCAAGGCUAAAUACUCCCUAGUGACCGAUAGUGAACCAGUACCGUGAGGGAAAGGUGAAAAGCACCCCGGAAGGGGAGUGAAAUAGAUCCUGAAACCGUGUGCCUACAACAAGUCAAAGCUCGUUAAUGAGUGAUGGCGUGCCUUUUGUAGAAUGAACCGGCGAGUUACGAUUGCAUGCGAGGUUAAGUCGAAGAGACGGAGCCGCAGCGAAAGCGAGUCUGAAUAGGGCGAAUGAGUAUGUAGUCGUAGACCCGAAACCAUGUGAUCUACCCAUGUCCAGGUUGAAGGUGCGGUAAAACGCACUGGAGGACCGAACCCACGUAC